RNAcentral lists this ribosomal RNA (496 nucleotides) under uncultured bacterium. RNAcentral's name for it is "partial 16S ribosomal RNA". It matches the Rfam family "Bacterial small subunit ribosomal RNA", at positions 29 to 523 of the family's 1533-position model. The record is from RNAcentral.
UUGAACGCUGGCGGCAGGCCUAACACAUGCAAGUCGAGCGCGAAAGGUUUUCGGACUGAGUAAAGCGGCGGACGGGUGAGUAACGCGUGGGAAUCUGCCCAGUAGUGGGGGACAACAGCCGGAAACGGCUGCUAAUACCGCAUACGCCCUACGGGGGAAAGGGGGGGAUCUUCGGAGCACUGGCUUGUGGAGGAGCCCGCGUCGGAUUAGCUAGUUGGUAGGGUAAAGGCCUACCAAGGCUACGAUCCGUAACUGGUCCGAGAGGACGAUCGGGCACACUGGAACUGGGACACGUUCCAGACUCCUACGGGAGGCAGCAGUGGGGAAUAUUGGACAAUGGGAGCAACCCUGAUCCAGCCAUGCCGCGUGUGUGAAGAAGGCCUUAGGGUUGUAAAGCUCUUUCAGUGGGGAGAAAGGUUUGUCACCUAAUACGUGAUGAAAUUGAUGUUACCCACAGAGGAAGCACCGGCUAACUCCGUGCCAGCCGCCGCGGUAA